UCCUGGCUCAGAUUGAACGCUGGCGGCAGGCCUAACACAUGCAAGUCGAACGGUAACAGGAAACAGCUUGCUGUUUCGCUGACGAGUGGCGGACGGGUGAGUAAUGUCUGGGAAACUGCCUGAUGGAGGGGGAUAACUACUGGAAACGGUAGCUGAUACCGCAUAACGUCGCAAGACCAAAGAGGGGGACCUUCGGGCCUCUUGCCAUCGGAUGUGCCCAGAUGGGAUUAGCUAGUAGGUGGGGUAACGGCUCACCUAGGCGACGAUCCCUAGCUGGUCUGAGAGGAUGACCAGCCACACUGGAACUGAGACACGGUCCAGACUCCUACGGGAGGCAGCAGUGGGGAAUAUUGCACAAUGGGCGCAAGCCUGAUGCAGCCAUGCCGCGUGUAUGAAGAAGGCCUUCGGGUUGUAAAGUACUUUCAGCGGGGAGGAAGGGAGUAAAGUUAAUACCUUUACUCAUUGACGUUACCCGCAGAAGAAGCACCGGCUAACUCCGUGCCAGCAGCCGCGGUAAUACGGAGGGUGCAAGCGUUAAUCGGAAUUACUGGGCGUAAAGCGCACGCAGGCGGUUUGUUAAGUCAGAUGUGAAAUCCCCGGGCUCAACCUGGGAACUGCAUCUGAUACUGGCAAGCUUGAGUCUCGUAGAGGGGGGUAGAAUUCCAGGUGUAGCGGUGAAAUGCGUAGAGAUCUGGAGGAAUACCGGUGGCGAAGGCGGCCCCCUGGACGAAGAUUGACGCUCAGGUGCGAAAGCGUGGGGAGCAAACAGGAUUAGAUACCCUGGUAGUCCACGCCGUAAACGAUGUCGACUUGGAGGUUGUGCCCUUGAGGCGUGGCUUCCGGAGCUAACGCGUUAAGUCGACCGCCUGGGGAGUACGGCCGCAAGGUUAAAACUCAAAUGAAUUGACGGGGGCCCGCACAAGCGGUGGAGCAUGUGGUUUAAUUCGAUGCAACGCGAAGAACCUUACCUGGUCUUGACAUCCACAGAACCCUGUAGAGAUACGGGGGUGCCUUCGGGAACUGUGAGACAGGUGCUGCAUGGCUGUCGUCAGCUCGUGUUGUGAAAUGUUGGGUUAAGUCCCGCAACGAGCGCAACCCUUAUCCUUUGUUGCCAGCGGUCCGGCCGGGAACUCAAAGGAGACUGCCAGUGAUAAACUGGAGGAAGGUGGGGAUGACGUCAAGUCAUUAUGGCCCUUACGACCAGGGCUACACACGUGCUACAAUGGCGCAUACAAAGAGAAGCGACCUCGCGAGAGCAAGCGGACCUCAUAAAGUGCGUCGUAGUCCGGAUUGGAGUCUGCAACUCGACUCCAUGAAGUCGGAAUCGCUAGUAAUCGUGGAUCAGAAUGCCACGGUGAAUACGUUCCCGGGCCUUGCACUCACCGCCCGUCA
This 1392-nucleotide ribosomal RNA is filed under the name uncultured bacterium. Its description in RNAcentral is "16S ribosomal RNA". It matches the Rfam family "Bacterial small subunit ribosomal RNA". The record is from RNAcentral.